Molecule: ribosomal RNA, 445 nt
Filed under: uncultured bacterium
Lineage: Bacteria
Description: partial 16S ribosomal RNA
Rfam family: Bacterial small subunit ribosomal RNA
Source: RNAcentral
GUGAGGAAUAUUGGUCAAUGGGCGAGAGCCUGAACCAGCCAAGUCGCGUGAAGGAAGAAGGAUCUAUGGUUCGUAAACUUCUUUUGCAGGGGAAUAAAGUGCAGGACGUGUCCUGUUUUGUAUGUACCCUGAGAAUAAGGAUCGGCUAACCCCGUGCCAGCAGCCGCGGUAAUACGGAGGAUCCGAGCGUUAUCCGGAUUUAUUGGGUUUAAAGGGUGCGUAGGUGGUUUGAUAAGUCAGCGGUGAAAGUUUGCAGCUUAACUGUAAAAAUGCCGUUGAAACUGUCGGACUUGAGUGUAAAUGAGGUAGGCGGAAUGCGUGGUGUAGCGGUGAAAUGCAUAGAUAUCACGCAGAACUCCGAUUGCGAAGGCAGCUUACUAAGCUACAACUGACACUGAAGCACGAAAGCGUGGGGAUCAAACAGGAUUAGAUACCCGGGUAGUCC